GAUGAACGCUGGCGGCAUGCUUAACACAUGCCAGUCGGACGGGAAGUGGUGGUUCCUGUGGCGGACGGGUGAGUAACGCGUAAGAACCUGCCCUUGGGAGGGGAACAACAACUGGAAACGGUUGCUAAUACCCCGUAGGCUGAGGAGCAAAAGGAGUAAUCCGCCCGAGGAGGGGCUUGCGUCUGAUUGGCUAGUUGGUGAGGUAAUAGCUUACCAAGGCGAUGAUCAGUAGCUGGUCCGAGAGGAUGAUCAGCCACACUGGGACUGAGACACGGCCCAGACUACUACGGGAGGCAGCAGUGGGGAAUUUUCCGCAAUGCGCGAAAGCUUGACGGAGCCAUGCCGCGUGGAGGUAGAAGGACCACGGGUCGUGAACUUCUUUUCUAGGAGAAGAAACAAUGACGGUAUCUGAGGAAUAAGCAUCGGCUAACUCUGUG
This 437-nucleotide ribosomal RNA is filed under the name uncultured bacterium. Its description in RNAcentral is "partial 16S ribosomal RNA". It matches the Rfam family "Bacterial small subunit ribosomal RNA", at positions 28 to 507 of the family's 1533-position model. The record is from RNAcentral.